AUUGAACGCUGGCGGCAUGCCUUACACAUGCAAGUCGAACGGUAACAGGCCUUCGGAUGCUGACGAGUGGCGAACGGGUGAGUAAUACAUCGGAACGUGCCUAGUAGUGGGGGAUAACUACUCGAAAGAGUGGCUAAUACCGCAUGAGAUCUACGGAUGAAAGCAGGGGAUCGCAAGACCUUGUGCUACUAGAGCGGCCGAUGGCAGAUUAGGUAGUUGGUGGGAUAAAAGCUUACCAAGCCGACGAUCUGUAGGUGGUCUGAGAGGACGAUCAGACACACGGGGGCUGAGAAACGGCCCAGACUCCUACGGGAGGCAGCAGUGGGGAAUUUUGGACAAUGGGCGCAAGCCUGAUCCAGCAAUGCCGCGUGCAGGAUGAAGGCCUUCGGGUUGUAAACUGCUUUUGUACGGAACGAAAAGCCCCGGGUUAAUACCCUGGGGUCAUGACGGUACCGUAAGAAUAAGCACCGGCUAACUACGUGCCAGCCGCCGCAGUAA
This 498-nucleotide ribosomal RNA is filed under the name uncultured bacterium. RNAcentral's name for it is "partial 16S ribosomal RNA". It matches the Rfam family "Bacterial small subunit ribosomal RNA", at positions 30 to 523 of the family's 1533-position model. The record is from RNAcentral.